AGGGUUUGAUCAUGGCUCAGGAUGAACGCUGGCGGCAUGCCUAACACAUGCAAGUCGAACGAAGUUACCGGAGCAGCGGACUUAGGUUCAACGCACCGACUAACUUAGUGGCGGAUGGGUGAGUAACACGUGAGCAACCAACCUUUUACUCGGGAAUAACAUGGGGAAACCCAUGCUAAUACCUGAUAUUAUCAAGAAAUGGCAUCAUAAUUUGAUGAAAGAUUUAUCGGUAAAAGACGGGCUCGCGUCCGAUUAGCUAGUUGGUAAGGUAAUGGCUUACCAAGGCCACGAUCGGUAGCCGGACUGAGAGGUCGACCGGCCACAUUGGGACUGAGAACGGCCCAGACUCCUACGGGAGGCAGCAGUGGGGAAUAUUGGGCAAUGGACGCAAGUCUGACCCAGCGAUGCCGCGUGAAGGAUGGAAGGCCCUCGGGUUGUAAAACUCUGUCCUUAGGGAAGAACGGUCUAUAUGUGAAUAAUGUAUAGAAAUGACGGUACCUAAGGAGGAAGCCCCGGCUAACUACGUGCCAGCCGCCGCGGUAAUAC
RNAcentral lists this ribosomal RNA (546 nucleotides) under uncultured Bacillota bacterium. Its description in RNAcentral is "bacterial SSU rRNA". It matches the Rfam family "Bacterial small subunit ribosomal RNA", at positions 8 to 526 of the family's 1533-position model. Lineage: Bacteria; Bacillati; Bacillota. The record is from RNAcentral.